This 889-nucleotide ribosomal RNA is filed under the name uncultured bacterium. Its description in RNAcentral is "bacterial SSU rRNA". It matches the Rfam family "Bacterial small subunit ribosomal RNA", at positions 8 to 895 of the family's 1533-position model. The record is from RNAcentral.
AGAGUUUGAUCCUGGCUCAGGAUGAACGCUAGCGGCAGGCUUAAUACAUGCAAGUCGUGGGGCAGCAGGGGUAGCAAUACCCGCUGGCGACCGGCAAACGGGUGAGGAACAUGUACGCAACCUACCUUUAACUGGAGGAUAGCCCCUCGAAAGAGGGAUUAAUACUCCGUAACAUAAUGAAGUGGCAUCGCUUUGUUAUUAUAGCUCCGGCGGUUAAAGAUGGGCGUGCAGCUGAUUAGGCAGUUGGCGGGGUAACGGCCCACCAAACCUACGAUCAGUAACUGGUGUGAGAGCACGACCAGUCACACGGGCACUGAGACACGGGCCCGACUCCUACGGGAGGCAGCAGUAAGGAAUAUUGGUCAAUGGAGGCAACUCUGAACCAGCCAUGCCGCGUGAAGGAUUAAGGCCCUCUGGGUUGUAAACUUCUUUUAUAUGGGAAGAAAUGUUCUGAUUCUUCAGAGCUUGACGGUACCAUAGGAAUAAGCACCGGCUAACUCCGUGCCAGCAGCCGCGGUAAUACGGAGGGUGCAAGCGUUAUCCGGAUUCACUGGGUUUAAAGGGUGCGUAGGUGGGCAGAUAAGUCAGUGGUGAAAUCUUCCGGCUUAACCGGAAAAUUGCCGUUGAUACUAUUUGUCUUGAAUAUUGUGGAGGUAAGCGGAAUAUGUCAUGUAGCGGUGAAAUGCUUAGAUAUGACAUAGAACACCAAUUGCGAAGGCAGCUUACUAUAUAAUUAUUGACACUGAGGCACGAAAGCGUGGGUAGCGAACAGGAUUAGAUACCCUGGUAGUCCACGCCCUAAACGAUGAUUACUCGACAUACGCGAUACACUGUGUGUGUCUGAGCGAAAGCAUUAAGUAAUCCACCUGGGAAGUACGACCGCAAGGUU